Heterocephalus glaber (naked mole-rat) is the source of this 637-nucleotide long non-coding RNA. RefSeq lists it as uncharacterized. The record is from RefSeq and is a predicted model, not a curated record. Lineage: Eukaryota; Metazoa; Chordata; Mammalia; Rodentia; Bathyergidae.
CGCUAGAGGCGGUUCGGCCUUUUGCGUGCGGAAAGCGUCUAGGCUGUGGGGAGUAAGCGGUCCUAUUUUGCAUAGAAAUAAUUUGGUCAGAAUUUAUUGGCGUGUUUAAAAUGCAGGGGUCUCAAAAUUCUUGCUUUAGUGGUUGGAGGCGGUCAGCUUUAAAAGUCUUUAGGUUCGAGGACUCGAAAGAACUUCUGCAUUUAUUAGGUCGCAUGACGGCCACGCGCAGGCCCGGACCCUGACCGGGCCCGCAUCUGUCCAGGGCGAGGUUUGUGCACCCAGUAACGCCCGGGCGGGAGAUCUGCAGUUCCACUGCCGAGGUCAUGUGGCUAUUUUGAGGCUACCCUGUAUUCGGCGCUAGAGCACCCUGAGAACCGCUACAAUUUGAUCAUGUGGAAGCGAAAGUUACUGCUGAUGAGAAACGAAAAACAGCAAGAUAAUCAAGAAAUCCAAAGUGAUAACGGGUGAAGUCUUAUGCAGCAUGUUACAGUGGGUCACAUAAAUCUCUUAGUGGGGAAGUGGGCAUUUUGAGUAAUAUGAAAACUACUGGGAAGGUAUUUUCAGUAUAUGCUUAAAUUAGCAUUUAAGGUAUUUCCUUGAUAUAAUUGAAUAAAAUGAUGUGAUGUGUGUGCAUAGA